RNAcentral lists this ribosomal RNA (1977 nucleotides) under oral metagenome. RNAcentral's name for it is "bacterial LSU rRNA". It matches the Rfam family "Bacterial large subunit ribosomal RNA", at positions 1 to 2012 of the family's 2925-position model. The record is from RNAcentral.
AUAAGUUUUUUAAGGGCAAACGGUGGAUGCCUUGACUGUAAGAGGCGAUGAAGGACGUACUAGGCUGCGAUAAGCUUCGGUGAGACGCCAAGAGUCUUUGACCCGGAGAUUUCCCAAUGGGGCAACCUGAUAUAUAGAGAUAUAUAUCGCCAUAUAAUGGAGCUAACCUGGUGAAGUGAAACAUCUCAGUAACCAGAGGAAGAGAAAUCAAAUGAGAUUCCCAGAGUAGCGGCGAGCGAAAUGGGAUUAGGACAAACCUUUAGUUUACUAAAGGGGUUGUAGGACUAUGUUGUGGUAUGAUGAGAGAUAAUAGAAUAAGCUGGAAAGCUUAGCUGUAAAGAGUGAUAGCCUCGUAUAUGAAAUUUUAAAUCAACCUAAUAGUAUCCUGAGUAGGACGGAACACGUGAUAUUCUGUCUGAAGCUGGGGGGACCACCCUCCAAUCCUAAAUACUACUUACAGAUCGAUAGUGAACCAGUACCGUGAGGGAAAGGUGAAAAGAACCGCAGUGAGCGGAGUGAAAUAGAACCUGAAACCGUUUGCCUACAAUCAUCGGGAGUCCUAUGUUUUAUACAGGAUGACCGACUGCCUUUUGCAUAAUGAGCCUGCGAGUUGUGGUAUCUAGCGAGGUUAAACGAAUGUGGAGCCGUAGCGAAAGCGAGUCUUAAUAGGGCGAAUAGUUAGAUGCUGCAGACCCGAAACAAAGUGAUCUAUCCAUGAGCAGGUUGAAGCUGGUGUAAGAGCCAGUGGAGGACCGAACUCGCUGACGUUGAAAAGUCAUGAGAUGACUUGUGGAUAGGGGUGAAAGGCCAAUCAAACUUUGUGAUAGCUGGUUCUCUCCGAAAUAUAUUUAGGUAUAGCGUCUUGUAGUAGCUAUAAGGGGUAGAGCACUGAAUAGGCUAGGGCAUAUACCAAUGUACCAACCCUUAUCAAACUUCGAAUACUUAUAGUGUAAGCAAGGCAGUCAGGCGGCGGGUGAUAAAAUGCGUCGUCGAGAGGGGAGUGGAAAACGAUGUGAAGUUGCUUAGACAACCAGGAGGUUGGCUUAGAAGCAGCCAUCCUUUAAAGAAAGCGUAACAGCUCACUGGUCUAGCGAUUUUGCGCGGAAAAUAUAACGGGGCUAAAGUUACCCACCGAAGCUUUAGAUUGAGAAUUUAUUCUCAGUGGUAGGAGAGCGUUCUAUUCAGCGUUGAAGGUAUACCGAGAGGAGUACUGGAGUGGAUAGAAGUGAGCAUGCAGGCAUGAGUAGCGGUAAAAGAAGUGAGAAUCUUCUUCGCCGAAAACCCAAGGUUUCCUACGCUAUGCUCGUCAUCGUAGGGUUAGUCGAGUCCUAAGCCAAGUCCGAAAGGGGUAGGUGAUGGCAAAUUGGUUAAUAUUCCAAUACUAACAAAUAAUAAUCUGAUGGGGGGACGCUUAGAGUUAAAUGAGCUAACUGAUGGAAUAGUUAGUCGAAAGAUGUAGAAUGAAUUGUAGGAAAAUCCGUAAUUCUUUAUUCGAGAUCUUAUAGGCAGACAAAGCUCUUCGGAGGUGCGUCUGAAUCAUUGAUACUGUCGAGCCUAGAAAAGCCUCUAAAGAGUUUGAAUUAUUUGUUACUCGUACCGUAAACCGACACAGGUGGGUGAGAUGAGUAUUCUAAGGCGCGUGGAUGAACCCUGGUUAAGGAACUCUGCAAAUUAGCACCGUAUCUUCGGUAGAAGGUGUGGCUCCUUUUGUAUAGAGAUUUACUCUCAAAAGCAAAAGAGCUUGCAACAAAGAGUCCCUCCCGACUGUUUACCAAAAACACAGCACUAUGCUAACACGUAAGUGGAUGUAUAUGGUGUGACGCCUGCCCGGUGCUGGAAGGUUAAAUGAUGAUGUUAGCAAUAGCGAAGCAUUUGAUUGAAGCCCCAGUAAACGGCGGCCGUAACUAUAACGGUCCUAAGGUAGCGAAAUUCCUUGUCGGUUAAAUACCGACCUGCAUGAAUGGCGUAACGAGAUGG